UACGUAGGAGGCGAGCGUUGUCCGGAAUCACUGGGCGUAAAGCGCGUGUAGGCGGAUGACUAAGUUUGCUGUGAAAGCGCCUGGCUUAACUGGGCGAGGUCGGCGAAAACUAGUCGUCUGGAGGCCGGUAGAGGGGGGUGGAAUUCCGGGUGUAGUGGUGAAAUGCGUAGAUAUUGGGAGGAACACCAGUGGCGAAGGCGGCUCACUGGACCGGUUCUGACGCUGAGGCGCGAAAGCGUGGGGAGCAAACGGG
Molecule: ribosomal RNA, 253 nt
Filed under: uncultured bacterium
Lineage: Bacteria
Description: partial 16S ribosomal RNA
Rfam family: Bacterial small subunit ribosomal RNA
Source: RNAcentral